ACCGUAUAAACCAAUCAACAAAACAUGUACAAAAAAAAAUGGGAUUUAGAAGUCAAUGUGGUAUAAGACAUUUUCCAAAAUAAUGAUGGAUUAAUGAACACAUAAUUUAUACGACAUACGAAUUCAUGAAUUGAUGAAUUUAAAACUAUUUAUUAAAAAAAACGAACUAGAGAUAUAUGCGUAAUUAUUAAAAUACGUGUUAUAAAAUAAAUAUUUUAAAAUCAAAUAGUAUAUAAUGUAACGUCCCCUAACCCUAUACCAUCACCAAAACAGGGUUACGAGACAUUAGCAGUCAGUACAGUCCAAUUCCGGUCAUUAAUUAAAAUAAAUAUUCACACACAUCCUAGUUUUAAGAUGUCGUCCCUUUAAUGGGCCUCGCGGUCCAAUAUGAACAGUAAAUUCAAUUCGGGACUAAUUUAAAAUCACUACGAAUUCUUAGUAAAUUUCAAAAUUCAUACUACAUACCGUUGCCAACCAUAAUUUACUCAUUUCAUCAAUACUUCUAUAACCUAAAUGACUCUCAUAAAACGUCCUAGGUACAUGCCAUUAUCAAUACUCAACAUACUUUACCUUAAUGAAUUCGGGAUCGUCUUGGGAUGCUGAUUCAACGUACUAUCUUUACUUAACCUGCAGACGGAAACAAACCGUACGCUGAGUAUGGUAUACUCAGUGGUAUUUCUAUAAUCUGAACAAUUAAUAAUAAAACAAAUACUUAAGAUCAUAAUAAUAAUUACAAUUAUUCAAUUAUUUAUUCAUAGAUAAAUUUCAACUACUUACCAUAUAAAUUUUAUACAGUUUAUAUAAUAAACACAAUAACAUAAUUGUUCAAUUAUUAAAUAAAUCCAUUACUAUUUACUCCGUUCUUUCACUUACUAUUCGGUAUAGCUUUCCUUAAUUUACUCACAAUUCAAUAUCAUUAAACUAUAUUCAACUAUAUACUUAUCAAUCAUAUUCCAUUUUAAUUCAUUUCAAUAACAGUCAAUUUCAUUUAUAUCGUAACAACUUACUAUCCCUGAUAGCUUUCAGUAUAUACAUACGAUUCAUAUAUCUCAAAUCACAUUUCAAUUCAUCAAGUGGCAUCAUAUAUCAUCAAUUCGAACUCCAAUCAUUUCAUGAACCUUUGGUUCAUAUUUUCAAUUUCAUAUCUAAAUUUUCAAUUCUCAAUUCAAUUUCUCGUUUCAUUUCAAUAGCUUGAUCAAUCAAAUUUAUUCGAUUUAUCUUUCACUUAUUUACCCCUAUUAACAAACCCAGACUUUGACAGAUACACGGAUUCCAACCCAAACACACCAGUACGGCACAUUGUGCCUAAAACGGUACAUAGUACCUGAUCAGUAUACGACACAUAAAGUGCCUAAAACGACACACGAGGUGCCUGAUACGACACACGAGGUGCCUGAUACGACACACGAGGUGCCUGAAAUACGACACAUAAAGUGUCUGAUCGAUAAAGCCGGCAAAUCCCGUACACUUCCAGAUCCUAUGGCCUGCCAAUUAUAUCCGACUCAGCCCGACUAAUUAAUAGGGUAUUUCAUUCACUUUCUCAAUUUAAUAAUUCUUUCAUCAAUAUACCAUUCUAAUAAUCACAUAUAUUCACCCAUUUUCACAAUUCAUACAAUUUCAUUCAAUUCAACAAUAUAUUUCAAUUAUUCAUAUUAAUUCAUAAUUCAAUACAAUUCAAUUCACUUUUCAAUAUCAAAUAUUCAAAUAUCACAAUCUCAUAUAUUCAUAUCAAUUUCAUCAUAUUUCCAAUCAAUAUAUUUUUCAAUAUAACAUUCAUUCAAUAUUCAAAUUUCUACAUAAAUCAUGUAUAUUAUAUAAUUCAAUCAAUAUAAAUUCAAUCAAAUAAUUUCAAUCAAUAUAAAUUCAAUAAAUUCAUCGCAUACCAAAAUCAAUCCAUUCCAAUUGUAAAACAUCAUAAUUCUAACACUAACAAUUGCAAUAUGUAUAUAAAUAUAACAAAUAAUAACUAAUUUUGGAUUAUAGAAAUACAAACCGUAAUUUUCGAGCUAACUCCAGUUGACUUUGUCUUGUCCUUUCUUAGCCGAGAUUUCCGGUACCACAUUGACUACGAAAUUAAUACAAUUCAUAAUCAUUAAUACAUUACUAAUUCAUAUCUUGAGUUACAGAAUUCUAAAUUAAGAUCCGCUAAUUUUUCCUGAAACUAUACUCACAAAUCUUCUUACAAUAAAAUUUUCAGAAUUUUUGGUUUAGCCAUUAAGUACAGUUUAUUCUUCAAAUUCACCCCUAUUCUGCUGUCUGACAGUUUCGUCCCUUCUUCACUAAAAAUUAAUUAUCUCAUAGGAAAGAACUCGGAUAAUAUUCCCGUUGAUUUCUCCUGAAAAUAGACUCAUUAGGGAUUCUAAACAUAUAACUUUAAGCCUCUAAUUAUUUUUCUUCAAUUUUUGGUGAUUUUCCAAAGUCAGAACAGGGGAACCCGAAUUCAUUCUGACCUUGUCUCACAAAAUUCAUUAUAUCUCAUAAUUUACAAUUCAAUUACUUAUAUCGUUUCUUGUAUAAGAAACUAGACUCAAUAAGCUUUAAUUUCAUAUUUUAUUCAUCUUCUAAUUCGAUUUCUAUAAUUUUUUAUGAUUUUUCAAAGUUAGACUACUGCUGCUGUCUAAAACAGUUUUAGUGCAAAAUGUUGAUUUACUUUAAUUUCAAUUUAAUCCUAACUAAAUUCUCUUACUUUUCUAUCUUAAUUCAUACUUUAUUUCUAUUCAAAAUUUGUCCAAACUCAUACUUAACUAUUAAAUUUCCAGCAUAUUUUCAUAAUUUCGAAUUUAUUUCCAUUUAAUCCCUAAAACUCAAAACUUAUAGCUUAGUUUACGAUUCAAUCCUUUAUUCAAUUCCAAUCAAAAUUUCUAUCAAAUAAACCCCCAAUUCCAUCAUUUUAUUCAACAUGAACCAAACUUAGAAAUCUAAUGACUUUCAAAAUUUCUACUUAAAACAAGUACUAUUUAUCUCUAGGAUUCCAAAUAACUCAAAAAUCAUAAGAAAAUGGGCUAAAUUGACUUACCAAAUUAACUUGGAACCUUUAAAACCUUAUUUUCCCUUUUUCUUUUCUUUCUUUCUUUCUCCCCUAUUUCUUCUCUGUUUCGUUUCCUGCUAUUCUCUUUCCUUCCUUCUUUUUAUUCUUUUGU
RNAcentral lists this long non-coding RNA (3140 nucleotides) under Gossypium barbadense (sea-island cotton). Its description in RNAcentral is "long non-coding RNA (GBAR_LNC007580)". The record is from RNAcentral. Lineage: Eukaryota; Viridiplantae; Streptophyta; Magnoliopsida; Malvales; Malvaceae.